RNAcentral lists this ribosomal RNA (626 nucleotides) under Triticum aestivum (bread wheat). Its description in RNAcentral is "partial small subunit ribosomal RNA". The record is from RNAcentral. Lineage: Eukaryota; Viridiplantae; Streptophyta; Magnoliopsida; Poales; Poaceae.
CGAAAACGAGCACCAUACCAGCAGCAGGCCAGCAGCGCACUCGAGUACCUUCUAGGCUCUCCGCCGCUGACCGCCGCCGGCUGCGCGACAGGCCGUCGCCCGCGCCUCCCACCGCAGCACGCCACAAUGGAGGCCGAGCGCCCAUGGCGUCACCCGAGGACACCUUCCAGCCGCCGUUCUCCUUCAAAUUCGUCGGGAUCCGGACGGAUCCGGAUGCCGGCGGCCCAUUCCCGACCUCCCUGCCUCGCCUGGUUUGUCGGCCACUCCGAUGUCGUCAUCUUCGUCACGGGAUCCAGCGCUACCGAUGGCUGGCCUCCUCCUCGCCUGGAUGUGACCCCCCCCACGCUGGCGCCUCCAAUCCGAGCAGCGGCAGCGAACACCUCGACAAGGGCAGUUUGCCAGAUCAGUGGCCAGAGAAAAGCCAUGGCGAUGAAGUCUGAUUGAUGACCCGCGAGCGCUCGGCGGCGCUUGAUGUGGUGGAUGCAGAAUCGUAUAGCUCCGGGUAGAGUAGUAGGCCAGAUCUGGAUAAAAAAUCUGUAAUUCCAUUUUUUGCUGUGUAUUUCUUCCUUUUUUGAUAAAGAAGUUAUGUAUAUGGUAUAUAUAUAUGCAAACUCCUUUAAGGCAAU